GGCAGGUAGAAGCAACAAUGCCCAAAAUGAUGUUAACAUUUUCCUUCUUGUUCAUCGUCCUGAUUCCGUGGUACUGGCCUUCACUUUGCAGCCCUCACUAUCAGAAAGAAGUUCUUCUCCAAUUCAAACUCCUUUUACUGGAAAACAUUCCCUCAGACUCUGAGCUUAGGGUCUUAAAUAAUUGGGACGCUUCUACAGACUGUUGUCAGUGGGUUCAAGUCGCUUGCGAUUCCAACACUUCACCACAGGUGACUCAUCUUUAUCUCCACGAAAUCUUUGCUCCUUCUUGUAUUCGUAUAGCGGUUGGUUGCUUUUAUCCUAUAAAAGAUGUAUUGCCGUCUCAUAUUUUAACUCCGCACUUUCAUAUACGAACACUCCAGUUACUUGACAU
Molecule: unclassified non-coding RNA, 391 nt
Filed under: Hevea brasiliensis (rubber tree)
Lineage: Eukaryota; Viridiplantae; Streptophyta; Magnoliopsida; Malpighiales; Euphorbiaceae
Source: RNAcentral